Molecule: transfer RNA, 77 nt
Filed under: Clostridia bacterium
Lineage: Bacteria; Bacillati; Bacillota; Clostridia
Description: tRNA-His
Rfam family: tRNA
About the family: Transfer RNA (tRNA) molecules are approximately 80 nucleotides in length. Their secondary structure includes four short double-helical elements and three loops (D, anti-codon, and T loops).
Source: RNAcentral
GAGGAUGUAGCUCAGUUGGUGGCAGCGCCAGGUUGUGGCCCUGGAGGUCGUGGGUUCGAGUCCCAUCAUUCUCCCCA